CCUACGGGUGGCAGCAGUGAGGAAUAUUGGUCAAUGGACGAGAGUCUGAACCAGCCAAGUAGCGUGAAGGAUGACUGCCCUAUGGGUUGUAAACUUCUUUUAUAUGGGAAUAAAACGUUCCACGUGUGGGAUUUUGUAUGUAUCAUAUGAAUAAGGAUCGGCUAACUCCGUGCCAGCAGCCGCGGUAAUACGGAGGAUCCGAGCGUUAUCCGGAUUUAUUGGGUUUAAAGGGAGCGUAGGUGGAUUGUUAAGUCAGUUGUGAAAGUUUGUGGCUCAACCGUGAAAUUGCAGUUGAAACGGGCAGUCUUGAGUACAGUAGAGGUAGGCGGAAUUCGUGGUGUAGCGGUGAAAUGCUUAGAUAUCACGAAGAACUCCGAUUGCGAAGGCAGUUCACUGGACUGCAACUGACGCUGAGGCUCGAAAGUGUGGGUAUCAAACAGGAUUAGAUACCCCUGUAGUC
Molecule: ribosomal RNA, 460 nt
Filed under: uncultured bacterium
Lineage: Bacteria
Description: partial 16S ribosomal RNA
Rfam family: Bacterial small subunit ribosomal RNA
Source: RNAcentral